GGCAUUAAGCGUAUUAUUUAAUGUUUGGCCUGCCCUAUGAUAAAGAUUAAAUGGCCGCAGUAUUUUGACUGUGUAAAGGUAGCAUAAUCAAUUGUCUAUUAAUUGUAGACUUGAAUGAAAGGUUGGACUUAGUUUUGCUUUUUUGGUUAUUAAAUGGUGAAUUUAUAUGUUUUGUAAGAAUACUGGAAGGAGCUUAAGGGACGAGAAGACCCUGUUGAGCUUUAUAUUUGUAUUUAUUUUGGCUUAAUGGAAGGUGCAAUAAAUUAUUAUAUUUUACUGGGGCGGUAGAUUUACAAUAAACGUAGUUUAUGUGAUCCGUUAAAAACGAUUAGAGGAUUAAGUUACUGCAGGGAUAACAGCUUAAUUUUGUCUGAAAGAUCUUAUUGAUGAUAACGUUUGUGACCUCGAUGUUGGUUUAAGGUGUCUAUAUAGAGGCAUAAAAUUUAUAAGAUGGUUUGUUCAACCAUUAAAACCUUAUG
Molecule: ribosomal RNA, 479 nt
Filed under: Cryptops pictus
Lineage: Eukaryota; Metazoa; Arthropoda; Chilopoda; Scolopendromorpha; Cryptopidae
Description: partial 16S ribosomal RNA
Rfam family: Bacterial large subunit ribosomal RNA
Source: RNAcentral